UAGGGAAUCUUCCACAAUGGACGCAAGUCUGAUGGAGCAACGCCGCGUGAGUGAAGAAGGUCUUCGGAUCGCAAAACUCUGUUGUUAGAGAAGAACACGAGUGAGAGUAACUGUUCAUUCGAUGACGGUAUCUAACCAGCAAGUCACGGCUAACUACGUGCCAG
Molecule: ribosomal RNA, 164 nt
Filed under: uncultured bacterium
Lineage: Bacteria
Description: partial 16S rRNA
Rfam family: Bacterial small subunit ribosomal RNA
Source: RNAcentral